Molecule: ribosomal RNA, 497 nt
Filed under: uncultured bacterium
Lineage: Bacteria
Description: partial 16S ribosomal RNA
Rfam family: Bacterial small subunit ribosomal RNA
Source: RNAcentral
GACGAACGCUGGCGGCGUGCCUAAUACAUGCAAGUUGAGCGCUGAAGGUUGGUACUUGUACCGACUGGAUGAGCAGCGAACGGGUGAGUAACGCGUGGGGAAUCUGCCUUUGAGCGGGGGACAACAUUUGGAAACGAAUGCUAAUACCGCAUAAAAACUUUAAACACAAGUUUUAAGUUUGAAAGAUGCAAUUGCAUCACUCAAAGAUGAUCCCGCGUUGUAUUAGCUAGUUGGUGAGGUAAAGGCUCACCAAGGCGAUGAUACAUAGCCGACCUGAGAGGGUGAACGGCCAAAAUGGGACUGAGACACGGCCCAAACUCCUACGGGAGGCAGCAGUAGGGGAUCAUCGGAAAUGGACGAAAGUCUGACCGGGCAACGCCGCGUGAGUGAAGAAGGUUUUCGGAUCGUAAAACUCUGUUGGUAGAGAAGAAAGUUGGUGAGAGUGGAAAGCUCAUCAAGUGACGGUAACUACCCAGAAAGGAACGGCUAACUACGUG